GGAGUUAGCCGGUGCUUCUUCUGUGAGUGAUGUCCUUCCUGCCGGCUAUUAACCCGCAGGCCUUAUUCCUCACUGAAAGUGCUUUACAACCCGAAGGCCUUCUUCACACACGCGGCAUGGCUGGAUCAGGGUUGCCCCCAUUGUCCAAUAUUCCCCACUGCUGCCUCCCGUAGGAGUCUGGGCCGUGUCUCAGUCCCAGUGUGGCUGAUCAUCCUCUCAGACCAGCUACGGAUCGUCGCCUUGGUGAGCCGUUACCUCACCAACCAGCUAAUCCGACAUAGGCUCAUCCGAUAGCGCGAGGCCCGAAGGUCCCCCGCUUUCCCCCGUAGGGCGUAUGCGGUAUUAGCCUGGGUUUCCCCAGGUUAUCCCCCACUACCGGGCAGAUUCCUAUGCAUUACUCACCCGUCCGCCGCUCGCCACCAGGGAGCAAGCUCCCCGUGCUGCCGCUCGACUUGCAUGUGUUAGGCCUGCCGCCAGCGUUCAAUCUGAGCCAGGAUCAAACUCUGA
RNAcentral lists this ribosomal RNA (507 nucleotides) under uncultured bacterium. Its description in RNAcentral is "partial 16S ribosomal RNA". The record is from RNAcentral.